UUGACGGGACCCGCACAAGCGGUGGAUGAUGUGGUUUAAUUCGAUGCAACGCGAAAACCUUACCCACCUUUGACAUGUACGGAACCCUUUAGAGAUAGAGGAGUGCUCGAAAGAGAGCCGUAACACAGGUGCUGCAUGGCUGUCGUCAGCUCGUGUCGUGAGAUGUUGGGUUAAGUCCCGCAACGAGCGCAACCCUUGUCAUUAGUUGCUACAUUCAGUUGGGCACUCUAAUGAGACUGCCGGUGACAAACCGGAGGAAGGUGGGGAUGACGUCAAGUCCUCAUGGCCCUUAUAGGUGGGGCUACACACGUCAUACAAUGGAUGGUACAAAGGGUCGCCAACCCGCGAGGGGGAGCCAAUCCCAUAAAGCCAUUCGUAGUCCGGAUCGCAGUCUGCAACUCGACUGCGUGAAGUCGGAAUCGCUAGUAAUCGUGGAUCAGAAUGUCACGGUGAAUACGUUCCCGGGUCUU
RNAcentral lists this ribosomal RNA (470 nucleotides) under uncultured Acidovorax sp. RNAcentral describes it as "bacterial SSU rRNA". It matches the Rfam family "Bacterial small subunit ribosomal RNA", at positions 910 to 1382 of the family's 1533-position model. The record is from RNAcentral. Lineage: Bacteria; Pseudomonadati; Pseudomonadota; Betaproteobacteria; Burkholderiales; Comamonadaceae.